AAAGUAUUCCCUCCGUCCGGAAUUACUUGUCGUAGAAAUGAAUAAAAAUGGAUGUGUCUAGAACUAAAAUACGUCUAGAUACAUUCGUUUCUCCGACAAGUAUUUGCGAACGGAGGGAGUAGAAA
Non-coding RNA from Triticum urartu, 125 nucleotides. The record is from Rfam. Lineage: Eukaryota; Viridiplantae; Streptophyta; Magnoliopsida; Poales; Poaceae.